Molecule: ribosomal RNA, 440 nt
Filed under: uncultured bacterium
Lineage: Bacteria
Description: partial 16S ribosomal RNA
Rfam family: Bacterial small subunit ribosomal RNA
Source: RNAcentral
CCUACGGGUGGCUGCAGUAGGGAAUAUUGCUCAAUGGGGGAAACCCUGAAGCAGCAACGCCGCGUGGAGGAUGAAGGUUUUAGGAUUGUUAACUCCUUUUUUUAGAGAAGAUAUUGACGGUAUCUAUCGCAUAAUCACCGUCUCACUCCGUGCCAGCUGCCGCGGUACUACGGAGGGUGCAUGCGUUACUCGGAAUCUCUGGGCGUUAAGAGCGCGUAUGCGGGAUAGCAAGUGAGCUGUGGAAUCCUAUGGCUUAACCAUAGAACUGCAGUUGAAACUGUUAGUCUAGAGUAUGGGAGAGGUAGGUGGAAUACGUGGUGUAGGGGUAAAAUCCGUAGAGAUCAAGAAGAAUACUCAGUGCGAAGGCGACCUGCUAGAACAUAACUGACGCUGAUGCGCGAAAGCGUGGGGAGCGAACAGGAUUAGAUACCCCAGUAGUC